Molecule: microRNA, 21 nt
Filed under: Arabidopsis thaliana (thale cress)
Lineage: Eukaryota; Viridiplantae; Streptophyta; Magnoliopsida; Brassicales; Brassicaceae
Description: ath-miR5652
Source: miRBase by way of RNAcentral
UUGAAUGUGAAUGAAUCGGGC